UUAAGAGACGCUGGUCGCCGCAGGCGUGAAGCUUGGAUUUGGGCUGGGACUGGGAAGUCUCGCUAAAGGGUGAAUCAUGUUUAAGAAGGUCAACAGGAUUGAGCACAAGAGGAAUAAGACAGAAAAACCAAAAAAGCUUAAUCCAUGGAUUCCACGCAUCUUCAACCACCAAUGCUAUGUCACCUUCCUUACUGGCUGCUAUAGUUGCCUCUGGAAAUUCAGACAAUGGGAAAAAACUAAAGUUGGAUUUUGUUGCUGCACUUGGGUACAGACUGAUAAGGAGCUGGGCCACAUUUUCUCAGAUGUGGGGAGCAUAGGCUGGCCGCUGGCCCCAUGAGGGCUUUUUACGGUCUCCAGGACUGGGGAUGCUAGGGCUCCAUUUCUUCCAUAAAAGUAUUGCACCGAUGUUAAACUUACUGAAACACGUACUUGCUUUCUUCAUUUUCUUUCCUUCACUUCAUUUUUCACUUUUAUUCUUUACUUUUCCUUACUACCUCUUUUAUGUUUAUUCAUUAAUUCACUUUUGCAUUUAUUCAUUCAGUGAAUCUUGAAGAAAAAG
Molecule: small RNA, 559 nt
Filed under: Pongo abelii (Sumatran orangutan)
Lineage: Eukaryota; Metazoa; Chordata; Mammalia; Primates; Hominidae
Description: retained intron
Source: RNAcentral